This 1650-nucleotide ribosomal RNA is filed under the name Triticum aestivum (bread wheat). Its description in RNAcentral is "partial small subunit ribosomal RNA". The record is from RNAcentral. Lineage: Eukaryota; Viridiplantae; Streptophyta; Magnoliopsida; Poales; Poaceae.
AUGGACGCCUCGUCGCCUUUUGCAUUGUUGCAUUCACCCCUGCUCCUCCUCACCCUGCUCGUGCCGAUCUUCGUCUCUUUCCUCCUCUUCCUCACCGAGAAGCCUGGUCCAUCCCGCAGCAAUGGCGGCGCGCGCCUGCCUCCGUCGCCAUGGGGCAUUCCCGUCCUUGGCCACCUCCCUCUUCUCGGUUCCCUGCCGCACCGGAAGCUCCGGUCCCUGGCCGAGGCGCACGGCCCCGUCAUGCUCCUGCGCCUCGGCGGCGUGCCCACCGUCGUGGCCUCCUCGGCGGACGCGGCGCUGGAGGUCAUGAAGACCCACGACCUGGCCUUCGCCAGCCGCCCCGCGGUGCGCAUGGCGGAGCGCCUCCUGUACGGCCGCGACAUGGCCUUCGCCCCCUACGGGCAGUACUGGCGGCAGGCGCGCCGCGUGUGCGUGCUCCACCUCCUCAGCGCCCGCCGCGUGGCCUCCUUCCGCCGCGUCCGGGAGCAGGAGGCCGGCGCCCUGGUCGACCGCGUCCAGCGCGCUGCCGCCUGCUGCUCGCGGCCCGAGGAUAACGUCGUGAACCUGACCGACGAGCUCAUAUCCUACACCAGCGCCGUCAUCUCGCGGGCCGCGUUCGGCGACGAUGGCGGGUACGGGAUCGACGACGACCUGACGGAGGUGUUCGCCGAGUUCGAGGAGCUGCUGGGCUCGGCCACGGUGGGGGAGUUCGUCCCGUGGCUGGCGUGGGUGGAUACGCUCAUGGGGCUGGACGCCAAGGUGGCACGGGCGCGCAAGGUGAUGGACGGGCUCCUCGAGCGGGUCAUCUCCGACCACCGCCAGCGGCGUCUCGGCAGAGGACGGCGGCUCGUUGGCGACGGGGAGGACGAUCACCGGGACUUCGUGGACGUGCUGCUGGACGUCAGCGAGGACGAUGGAGAAGACUCCGGGGGUGUCCGGUUCGACACGGUCGGCAUCAAGGCCAUUAUCCUGGACAUGUUCGCCGCGGCCACCGACACGACCUACACGACUCUGACAUGGGCCGUGGCGGAGCUCAUCAACAACCCAUCCGAGAUGCACAAGCUCCAGGACGAGGUUUGCGCGGCCGUCAAUGGCGCCGGCCACGUCACCGAGGACCACCUCGAGAAGAUGAGCUACCUGAGGGCCGUGAUCAGGGAGACGCUCCGGCUGCACGCGCCCCUGCCGCUCCUCCUGCCCCGGGAGACGCUGGAGGACACGGAGCUGCUGGGCUACCGCGUCCCGGCGCGGACGCGCGUGGUGAUCAACGCGUGGGCCAUCGGCCGCGACCCGGCGACGUGGGAGCGCGCCGAGGAGUUCGUCCCGGCGAGGUUCGCGGAUGGCCCGGCGGAGUACGUCCUGGGGCAGGACUUCAGGUUCGUGCCCUUCGGCGCCGGAAGGAGGGGCUGCCCCGGCGUCGGCUUCGCCGUGCCGUCGAUCGACCUGGCGCUCGCCAGCCUGCUGUACCAUUUCGACUGGGAGCUGCCGGCGGCGGCGGCCGGGGCGAAGCUGGACAUGAGCGAGCUGUAUGGGUUGUCCGUCCGGCUCAAGGCCACGCUGCAUCUGGUUGCUAAGCCGUGGACCCGUGGUCUCCUUGAGCUGCACCUGCCACUGUGGACACGACUUUGGGAUUGCUUGAAGAAACAGAAAUGA